RNAcentral lists this non-coding RNA (124 nucleotides) under uncultured Anaerobutyricum sp. RNAcentral's name for it is "FMN riboswitch (RFN element)". It matches the Rfam family "FMN riboswitch aptamer (RFN element)". Rfam says of the family: The RFN element is a highly conserved domain that is found frequently in the 5'-untranslated regions of prokaryotic mRNAs that encode for flavin mononucleotide (FMN) biosynthesis and transport proteins. This element is a metabolite-dependent riboswitch that directly binds FMN in the absence of proteins. In Bacillus subtilis, the riboswitch most likely controls gene expression by causing premature transcription termination within the 5' untranslated region of the ribDEAHT operon and precluding access to the ribosome-binding site of ypaA mRNA. The record is from RNAcentral. Lineage: Bacteria; Bacillati; Bacillota; Clostridia; Lachnospirales; Lachnospiraceae.
AGUCUUCAGGGCAAGGUGAGAUUCCUGACCGGCGGUAUAUAUCUCAGGAUAUGAGCCCGCGAGCCUUUUUAAGGCAUGAUCCAGUGAGAGUCUGGAGCCGACGGUAGAGUCCGGAUGGAAGAAG